This 478-nucleotide ribosomal RNA is filed under the name uncultured bacterium. RNAcentral's name for it is "partial 16S ribosomal RNA". It matches the Rfam family "Bacterial small subunit ribosomal RNA", at positions 28 to 523 of the family's 1533-position model. The record is from RNAcentral.
GACGAACGCUGGCGGCGUGCUUAACACAUGCAAGUCGAACGGUAAGGCCCUUCGGGGUACACGAGUGGCGAACGGGUGAGUAACACGUGGGUGAUCUGCCCUGCACUUCGGGAUAAGCCUGGGAAACUGGGUCUAAUACCGGAUAGGACCACUGCCUGCAUGGGUGGUGGUGGAAAGCUUUUGCGGUGUGGGAUGGGCCCGCGGCCUAUCAGCUUGUUGGUGGGGGGAUGGCCUACCAAGGCGACGACGGGUAGCCGGCCUGAGAGGGUGACCGGCCACACUGUGACGGGGAUACGGCCCAGACUCCUACGGGAGGCAGCAGUGGGGAAUAUUGCACAAUGGGCGCAAGCCUGAUGCAGCGACGCCGCGUGAGGGAUGCCGGCCUUCGGGUUGUAAACCUCUUUCAGCACCGACGAAGCGCAAGUGACGGUAGGUGCAGAAGAAGGACCGGCCAACUACGUGCCAGCAGCCGCCGUAA